ACAAGCCAGUAAGCAGUACCCGCUCAUGAUCUCUGCACCACCUCCUGCCUCCAGGUUCCUGGCCUGCUUGAGUUCCCCCCUGGCUUCCCUGGAUGACAGACUACAACUUAUUGGGAUGUAAACUCUCAGCUACAGUUCCAGUGCCAUGCCAUGCCUGCCUGCCUGCCUGCCUGCCUGCCUGCCUGCCUGCCUGCCUGCCUGCCACCACCCUCCCCACCUUGAUGGUAUCAGUUAACUCUCUGGAACUGUAUGCAUCACCCAAUUAAAUGCCUUCCUUGAAAAGAA
Long non-coding RNA from Mus musculus (house mouse), 285 nucleotides. RefSeq annotates it as predicted gene, 40372. The transcript is spliced from 2 exons. Lineage: Eukaryota; Metazoa; Chordata; Mammalia; Rodentia; Muridae. The record is from RefSeq and is a predicted model, not a curated record.